Rhinolophus ferrumequinum (greater horseshoe bat) is the source of this 512-nucleotide long non-coding RNA. RefSeq lists it as uncharacterized. The record is from RefSeq and is a predicted model, not a curated record. The transcript is spliced from 4 exons. NCBI's taxonomy places the organism in Eukaryota, Metazoa, Chordata, Mammalia, Chiroptera, Rhinolophidae.
AGCUGCGCGGGCACUGCGCCUCCUUUUACAUCAGAGGUAAGCAGCGUCCUGCCCGCCCCCCAGUUGCAAUUGAGACCCACGCGCCUCGGAGGCUCUCAUCCCCGCCCCACAGGCGCGCACCCGCGUCCCCUGCGCGCGCCCGCUCGCCCCAGACCUCCCGAGAUCUCUGAACCGUUCGGUGCCCGGCGUACGCAGGAAAGGCGGGCCGAGGCGCCCGGAGGGCGAUUUAGGAAACCGGUGACUGAAAGCCGCUGCACACGGCCGAUGCGAUAUCUGGACACUGUGCGGCGCUGGCGCCGCGGGAGCUACGGGCCCCGCGCCUGACAAGCGUCGUCCACUCUGAGCAAGGAAAGCGGGGGAAGGAAAGGAAGCAGCAUAAAGGAGGGGAUUCCCUCGGAAUUUUCCGGAACGUCGUGCUCUGUGCUGAGGCUACUUACCACUCCUGUGUCUAGAAUGAAUGAAUGCUCUUUCUCACUCUUCGAAAGGCCAGUUCUGUGUUCUCUGAAGUGUCU